RNAcentral lists this ribosomal RNA (253 nucleotides) under uncultured bacterium. RNAcentral's name for it is "partial 16S ribosomal RNA". It matches the Rfam family "Bacterial small subunit ribosomal RNA", at positions 524 to 776 of the family's 1533-position model. The record is from RNAcentral.
UACGUAGGGGGCAAGCGUUGUCCGGAUUUAUUGGGCGUAAAGAGCGUGUAGGCGGCCAGACAGGUCCGUUGUGAAAACUCGAGGCUCAACCUCGAGACGCCGAUGGAAACCGUCUGGCUAGAGUCCGGAAGAGGAGAGUGGAAUUCCUGGUGUAGCGGUGAAAUGCGCAGAUAUCAGGAGGAACACCGGUGGCGAAGGCGGCAGCCUGGACCAAUUCUGACGCUGAGGAGCGAAAGCCAGGGGAGCAAACGGG